Molecule: non-coding RNA, 359 nt
Organism: Phascolarctos cinereus (koala)
Lineage: Eukaryota; Metazoa; Chordata; Mammalia; Diprotodontia; Phascolarctidae
Source: RefSeq, a predicted model, not a curated record
AACAAGUACAAGGUCAUGGCCCACAGGUGCUUGGUGGCUAUACUUUGGUGAAGGUUGCAGGCCUCUGUACUGCAUCUUUGCCAUCUCUUUACAAUGUCCACACACAGAGAACCAGUUGUUGGACAUUUGCCAGUAUACCCCUGGUAAAGACAAGUUUUUGGUAGACUUAUUUUGUCCUCUACCACUUUUUGCUCAUUUGUAAGGUGAUGCAGUUCACAGUCUUCCAUUCUCCACCUUCGUUUUGUGAAUGAAUUUAUCAUCUAAGCUAGUGGUUCCCUUAGCUGCCAUGUCUUUGGACCUAACAGGGAGGUCAAGUGUUUACUGACUAGGCUGGUUUCUUAGCUAUUUUAGUUUCUAGA